GGGGGAAUGUGUGGAUUAUGGUACAUUAGAAUAGGUAUGAUCUAGAAAACUACUUGAAGCACCAUCUACAGAAAAAUGAGGACUUUCUGUCGUUAAUAGCUGCCCUUUUGAAGGUAAUGGGCAUUCCAUUGCGGGGCUGUAAAUGCCGAGUGUGGACUCCAAAGGAGUGGGGCUUUGGUGCUUCCAGUGUUUGCUUUCUUCCGCGUUGAUCAAAGACCAAUGCGUUUGCCUUAUGAGGCCCCACUGGAAAAUGUUUUUAGAGCAAUUACAGACGUGACAAUCAUCAGUUCAGCUUAUUUCUUUCACCCUAAGAAACAUUACGGGAAAAAAGAAGAAAGAAACCUUUAAAUAAAGACAAAGGAGAGGGAAAGAGGGCUACUGCGGGUUAAGUGUAGACACUUCAAGAGGAAAAAGUUUGGUCCUCACUCUCCCACUCUCUAAGUCCUGCGAUACUGGUCCUUGUUUUGAAUUAAAAUGGGGCAGCCUUCUUUGGUGGCCAGCAGGGUCCUUGUUAUUUAAGAUGGAGAAGCUUCACGGCGACAUUGGGGGAGGGGUGAUGUUAACUGUGCGGGAGAAACGGAGCUGCGAAAAACAGUUCAGGAAAUUGAAACGGUCGGGUGAGGUGAUAGUGGAAAAUUGCAUUCUUAGUUUCUAAGUGACUUCUGUUACUUGUCCAGAAUCCAUAAGCAAGAAUCAAGAUUUUUGUUUUCUCUUAAAAAGUAACCUCUGCUGAGUACAGGAGUCGAUACUUGUCAAGCUUUGAAUAACAACGUGUCCCUUCUUCCUUCUAGUGGGCGUUUCUGUCUGGAUGUGGAAGGAGGACUUCGUACCGGAACUCCCCAGGCACCAGCAAAACCGUCUCUGUCUUCUUAGGAAGAGGAAACUGGGCACGUGCGGCCGGUCGGGCCAAGACCAUUACGAAGUCCUGCAAAACUCACUGAGAUCAGGCGUGAAAGAUGUCAACAAACGACCUGGGCCAAAGCAUUCCAUGUGUAGGAUUGAGUGAGGUGUCGAGAUGUGGGGGCGCUAACCCUAAACCACUAGGGCUGCGGGGCCGGGUCUCACCCCGACGGCUGUGCUGGACCAAGCAAAUCCCGGAUUCACACGACACCCUUUGCUGUGACCAAUGCAGACGUGCAGUUCGAUUACCACGGAAGAUCUCCGAGCUGAGUCAACUUGACCCAAACGUGUGAAUCAUUUCGUUUACCAGGGAAAAGGGGGCCCGUGACUCCCUUCACUUUAGCGGCAACAAAAAGCGUCUAGCUGUGGGCAACAGCGCGCGCGCGUGUGUGAGUGUUGGUGUCAGCGCACAUAUUCGAUUUCCAAACAUCUUUUGAAGCUGUCUUCUCAUUUGUAAUUUACAAACCCAGUAGAUUUCAAAGACCUUGAUAGUGUUAUUAGACACCUAAAUGCACUGUCACCAUUCCUCCAAAAUUAGGUUUUUGCUGUACUCUUAAAAUCCUUUGCUAAGAAAUAUGUGAACUCAUCAUCCGAAUCCUCCUAUAGGAAACAGUCAAGAAAAAUGAGUUAAAUAUAUAAUAUGACUUAGGUAGUUUUUUUUUUUUUUUUACAAAAAAAGUGAGGCACACAAAAAUAUUCCAAUAUACUGUAUGCCACCUCAUUCAGGACAGCAGAAACAUUUCACGUUCCCACAAGAAUUCUUUCUUUGCCCUAGUGUCCUCAAAGCGGCUUCUGAUAUCCCCACUUCUUAAGAAAAAUAAGUUAGUGAAAGCCUUCACCCAAGUUUUGGGUGGGAUUCAACACUAAGCAAAAUAUGCUCAACAGAUGAUAGUAGAGAUGAAGCCAGAAAACAACUCCAGCUAUUUAAACUGCCAAAUGAGACAUAAAGCUGCAUUGUAAAAAUCAUCUGGAAAACAGGUUUUCCCAUUGAAGUCGCUAUGUGUUAAUUACUGUGAGCUGGAAGGCUGGAGAUCGAACGCCUGGAAGCCGACUUUCACCCCGCAUACGUAAACGGAAAAAGUGCUGAACAGCAGCCAGAGGGCUCCUGCUCCGACUCAUUGCCAUGCAUGCCUAGACAUUAAUAUGUGUUCAUGGAGGGCUCGUACAGUACGAGGUGUUAUUUCCUUAUAAAGAAACACCAGGUCUCGCUUUCCAUUCUUCUUACAAAAUUAUUCGCAUUAUUUAUGCUACAUUGAGCGAUCUAAUUUCUUCG
Molecule: long non-coding RNA, 2173 nt
Organism: Equus caballus (horse)
Lineage: Eukaryota; Metazoa; Chordata; Mammalia; Perissodactyla; Equidae
Source: Ensembl